Molecule: ribosomal RNA, 446 nt
Filed under: uncultured bacterium
Lineage: Bacteria
Description: partial 16S ribosomal RNA
Rfam family: Bacterial small subunit ribosomal RNA
Source: RNAcentral
CCUACGGGAGACAGCAGUCGAGAAUCAUUCACAAUGGGGGAAACCCUGAUGGUGCGACGCCGCGUGGGGGAAUGAAGGUCUUCGGAUUGUAAACCCCUGUCAUAUGGGAGCAAAUUAAAACGAUAGUACCUCAAGAUGACUAGACGGCUAACUCGGUGCCAGCAGCCGCGGUAAUACAGAGGUCUCAAGCGUUGUUCGGAAUCACUGGGCGUAAAGCGUGCGUAGGCUGUUUCGUAAGUCGGGUGUGAAAGGCGCGGGCUCAACCCGCGGACUGCACAUGAUACUGCGAGACUAGAGUAAAGGAGGGGGAACCGGAAUUCGCGGUGUAGCAGUGAAAUGCGUAGAUAUCGAGAGGAACACUCGUGGCGAAGGCGGGUUCCUGGACAGUAACUGACGCUGAGGCACGAAGGCGAGGGGAGCGAAAGGGAUUAGAUACCCCAGUAGUC